UAAAUGGAGAAACGUCUAAUGGCGUUUUCUCUGAAAGCAAAGAAAACAGAGAAAAAGGAAAAGGUCGGGAUAUCGUUUCAGUCGCCCUAUCUUCGUUUGGCGAUUAGAUUGUUGACUCGACUACAU
Magnolia sinica is the source of this 126-nucleotide small nucleolar RNA. RefSeq annotates it as small nucleolar RNA snoR111. NCBI's taxonomy places the organism in Eukaryota, Viridiplantae, Streptophyta, Magnoliopsida, Magnoliales, Magnoliaceae. The record is from RefSeq and is a predicted model, not a curated record. The transcript has a single exon.